Thalassophryne amazonica is the source of this 1967-nucleotide long non-coding RNA. RefSeq lists it as uncharacterized. The record is from RefSeq and is a predicted model, not a curated record. Lineage: Eukaryota; Metazoa; Chordata; Actinopteri; Batrachoidiformes; Batrachoididae. The transcript is spliced from 4 exons.
CGGCAUUUUAAAAACUUGAGCUCAACAUAAGUAAAACAAAUGAAACAAAGAUGGAUUUUAAUGAUAUCAUGUAACAUUUACUGUGCACAAGCUUGAAUUAUACGUGAGCGUGCAGAGACGCUCUCGCGUGUUUGUUUACUUGUGCGAUGGCCGAGUCCGUUUCCUCUCAGAUGUUCAUUUUGACCUUCGACCCCAGAGAUGAGGUCAAGCCCUGACAAAUGAGAUGGCUGGCAAGAACUGCAAACAUUCCACAGCAAGCUUCUCCUCCUCCUCAUGUCCUUCAUUCCUCACCCCUUCACUCCUCUCAGCACUCUGAGACAAAUCAGAGAACACACACAUUUUAAAACAAAAUCCCUUCAAAUUAAGAAUUAAACAUUAGGUAAAUUUUCAGAAUGAAGAAAAAGAGGCUCCACUUGUAAAACAAUUAGGAUAUUUCCUCCCUCACUGUGUGUUUGGGAAGCUCGACAGCCACGUCAAAGAUGAGAAAUGUUGCAGAAUGCUGCCACCUGUGUCUUUAGGGGCAAAAUAAAUAAAGCGGGGAUAUUGGUAUUCCUCUUCAGGAUGGAGGUUAAGGUAAGUGCUGCCCCCUAUUACAAUGAAAGUGCAAAUAAUAGUCCUGCUUGUUGUUUUUCUGCAUUAACAUUUUUCUUUUCAUGAAACGACCUCGGCUUCCUGAGCAUCAAUGCCCUCCGUCAGUUACGAGUCACUGCUGUAAAAACAAAAACAGUCACCUUUGAUGAACAUCAGCAGAGCAAGCCACAGUGCCACAAAGCCGACGGAGCAGGCCGUCACACCGACUAAAGGAUGUAAAGGAAAGACUCUGAGCCACUUCAGUCCCUGCCGCUACCCACCGUUACCACAGCGUUACUGGAGCGUGGAUGUCUGCCCUCGUCCCUCAGGGCCUUGGUCCCAGUCUCCACCACCCCUCCUCAUCCACCACGACCCCCAUUCCCCGCCACCUCUCCGCCUCACUCCCUGAUUUGGCAGAAUGCCAGCGUCUGCCGCUUCCCACCUUUUCCCCAAGACUCGCGGCUGUAAUAGACGGUAAUGGCCUAAGACAAAUCAACCCGUUUCUUGUAAAAAUAGCAGCAAAUAACCCUUCCCACUCUUCGCCUUGCACUCAACUCACAAGCACACCAGGCGGUAGGGUGGCGGUGGUGUGUCACGGCGCGUUCGACUUAUUCUCCAUCUCCAUCACCCUGGCUAUCCUUCUGACCGCCGUCCCUCCACAUCCAGCGCUGAGCCAGAGGAGACCAUCCAGUGACUCUAACAAAGCCAUAAGUCUGCCGUACUUACAGCUCCCUCUCAGGCCUCACAAUGGAUGGGUAAUGACAGCGCUGUCUGGAGGGGGCUGUGGGAGUUGGGCCAUUCUCUUCUGUAAUGGAAGCAGUUACUUCCAUUCCCUACACACCUGCAGGAACAGCGAACUGUUAAACACCGUGAUCUAUGGCAAAGCCUUACCGCACUAAGGUUGAAGGGUUGCACUGACACCGGUGAAUUAGGACAUGUCUGCUCCACACAUCUUUUUUUCCUCACUCACCAACACACUCCAAAUGUUUCUACUGUACGUUGCCAUAGAAAAGCAAUGGUCAGGGAGUUAUUUAGAAACAAAUCCGUACAAUGAAUCAGCGUAAACGCAGCUUUCAGCAAUGCAAUCCAGCACUCCUGACACUCGUUGAUUUAACACAGACAUAAGAUGCUGCACGUCUUUACUACCCUGUCAUUGGUUUGAACGAUGGGAAACCCAAACUGCCUGUAACAUUAAGCGCGCCACUACAGGCUGACUGUCCUCAAACGCUUUCCAAUCCUGCAGAGAUUUAUGAGCAGAUCCAGAUCCAUUAAUCCAUUGUUGAUCUGCUGUGGCUACCCUGCAGGGUUUUCAGGAUCAGAUAUCAUACAUGGCUGAAAUUCAGCCGACUGUGCAUGGCAAUCGGUAGGACAAUAUAGUAACACGGUUACAAUCAGAG